Long non-coding RNA from Xenia sp. Carnegie-2017, 401 nucleotides. RefSeq lists it as uncharacterized. The record is from RefSeq and is a predicted model, not a curated record. The transcript is spliced from 3 exons. Lineage: Eukaryota; Metazoa; Cnidaria; Anthozoa; Malacalcyonacea; Xeniidae.
UCGACGCAUUGAAAACUAGGAUGGAAACACUUGAAUCUGGUAACAAUACGUGAUCGUUAAUUUUACUGGUUUUAUCUGUUUUUUUUGCUGAGGACAUUAAAUUCUUCUUGCGCUCAUAGAGUUGACAUGUUGUAAAGAAGAAGAACGACAGAGAUUAUUGAGGGAAGUUAAAGAAAUCGACGCAUUGAAAACUAGGAUGGAAACACUUGAAUCUGAGUUGACAUGUUGUAAAGAAGAAGAACGACAGAGAUUAUUGAGGCAAGUUAAAGAAAUCGACGCAUUGAAAACUAGGAUGGAAACACUUGAAUCUGAGUUGACAUGUUGUAAAGAAGAAGAACGACAGAGAUUAUUGAGGCAAGUUAAAGAAAUCGACGCAUUGAAAACUAGGAUGGAAACACUUG